Molecule: ribosomal RNA, 253 nt
Filed under: uncultured bacterium
Lineage: Bacteria
Description: partial 16S ribosomal RNA
Rfam family: Bacterial small subunit ribosomal RNA
Source: RNAcentral
UACGUAGGGUGCGAGCGUUGUCCGGAAUUAUUGGGCGUAAAGGGCUCGUAGGCGGUUUGUCACGUCUGCUGUGAAAUCCCGAGGCUCAACCUCGGGCCUGCAGUGGGUACGGGCAGACUGGAGUGCGGUAGGGGAGAAUGGAAUUCCUGGUGUAGCGGUGGAAUGCGCAGAUAUCAGGAGGAACACCGAUGGCGAAGGCAGUUCUCUGGGCCGUAACUGACGCUGAGGAGCGAAAGCGUGGGGAGCGAACAGG